RNAcentral lists this long non-coding RNA (775 nucleotides) under Hordeum vulgare. RNAcentral's name for it is "long non-coding RNA (HVUL_LNC011045)". Lineage: Eukaryota; Viridiplantae; Streptophyta; Magnoliopsida; Poales; Poaceae. The record is from RNAcentral.
UCGGCAAAAUUAUUUGUUCUUUCACAAUAAUGCCACAUAAACUCACAAUUUCCAAUCAGUAAAAAACCAGUAACGAGGAUCUACGAACAAAGAGGACGGGCAGUAGAAUUAGCACACACCUGAGUAGAGAGUGAGAUCCGGUGGCAGCUGCCAGGCGUGAACUAAGCUGGAAGCGACACCUUCACGCGGCGGCUCAUCAACCAGCUCGUAGACCUCGCACCCGACGACCUUGCGAGCACGGACGUCGACGCCGAUCAGGUUCUCGUCCAGGAAGAAGUAGACCACGUCGGGGUUGGUGGGACGGGUGAGGACGGGGUCGUCGGCGAAGGGGUCGCAGGUGACGAGGCACCAGGAGAGGUCGACCCACCAGAGCCUCCCGUAGCAGGAAACGACGCCAUGGGGGCUGUGCAGGCGGGCCGGAAGCGGGUAGGCGACUCUCUCCCUGACCCACUCCCCGACCUUGGACGGGAAGCGUAGGAGGACGGCCUUGUCGCUGCCGAAGACGGGCUGGAGCUCGGCGACCAAGUAGCCGUCGCCGUCGGGGUAGGCGAUGAGGCCGAGGUCGCCCUUGUACGAGACGAGCUCGGGCGUGGGGAGCGGCAGCGCGGAGCCGGCGGCGGCGUCGAGCACGUAGUAGCCCGCGACGAACGGGAGCCAGCCGAACUGCUGGCAGCCGGGCUUGUCGAUGACGGUGGGGCCCGUGGCGCGGCCCUGGUCGGCGUGGAGGAGGAGGAGGCCCGCGGAGGGGUCGGCGGCGAGGACGSAGGGGAAGYUS